Molecule: long non-coding RNA, 392 nt
Organism: Phyllostomus hastatus (greater spear-nosed bat)
Lineage: Eukaryota; Metazoa; Chordata; Mammalia; Chiroptera; Phyllostomidae
Exons: 3
Source: RefSeq, a predicted model, not a curated record
UGGGAGCAGAGGUGACAUGAUCUAACACCAUCAUAGUGGUUAUGGAGGUCCAGGUACAAAUACCAUGAGAAAAAGCUAAAAAUUGCAAGCUGUUGCCUCUGGAGAGCAGCACUCAGCCGUGAAAAAGAGUGCGUGCAUCAGAGAAAGGAGGAAAGAAUGAACACAGGCGACUGACUGUAUGACCUACUGGUGGAAUACGAGGCAGAGCCUGGGGAAGUUUUGCAAACUGCAAAAGAAUGGGACAAUGCAAGCCAAGUACCUGGGACAGGGACCCUUCUCCCCUGACUUUUUGUGGCCUCCAUGUCCUCUAUGAUCGAUGGACAAUACUCUUACCAGGUCCAGGAUUCCAAAGUGAAGCAGCACCUGGUCGCUGGAGGCAGGAGGUAAUUUUC